CUAACUAUAAAAUGAGAGACAAGUAGUGGAGGAGUGCUUUGUGAGUGGAAAGAAAAUGGCAUUUGUGAAGAAGAAUCAAUCUUUAAUCACCAAGAUUUUGAUCAUUCUGAUCUCUGUCUCUGCCCUCCUCUUCUCUCUUGGGGAAGGCAGUGUUACUUGUCAGGGGAAAUGUGAAGAUAUUCCAGACUGUGAUGGGUUUUGUCGCAGAGGUGGGUACUCGGGAGGCAAAUGUUAUCCACCACUUUAUCAAUACUGUUGCUGCCAAGAUUAAUAAAUAAAGGCUUCUUAUGUUCAUCAGUUCAUGUUCUUCUGGAUAAAUAAAAGUAAAUUGCUGAUC
This is a long non-coding RNA of Tripterygium wilfordii, 337 nucleotides long. RefSeq lists it as uncharacterized. Lineage: Eukaryota; Viridiplantae; Streptophyta; Magnoliopsida; Celastrales; Celastraceae. The record is from RefSeq and is a predicted model, not a curated record. The transcript is spliced from 2 exons.